UUCCCUCAGCCAUUCCGUCUUUAAUUUGAAAUAAAUAAAAAAGUAUUAGUUAUCUAAGUUAUUCAAUAUAAUUCAGGAGAUAAUGAAAAGAGACAUGUAACGUACUCUGAGCGUCUCUAUGGGUGUUUGAUUGACUUGUGCCAUCAUGAAUUUGCACAUGUAAUAUGCACAUAGAUUGUUCCCCCUUCUUGUCUUAAACACCACUGUAUGAUAUAUAUAUAUAAAUAUUCACGACCACGACAAUAAGAAGGCUAAAAGUUAGCGAAAGUUUGUUAGCUAAUAGAACUUACUUGUGGAUGUAUUAUGUUAAGCGGCGCUUUACAUCCAAAGAGAUGUUCACGGUCAAUGAAUCUUUCCCAAACCCUAUACACAACCAUUGUGGAUCGUGAACUAAUAAUUACAGAGUCAUAUUAUGAUAUUUUUGUAGCUGAGAUCGACAUUACGUACCUUUGAAUAAUGUUUACCAUUUGUUGAUAAUUUUCUUGUGGUUUUCUCAUUGAGUCAAAGAUUAUCAACCUGUUCUUGGGAAUUUCAAUGACCAUGAGUAUCCAGUGAAAGCUGUUUACACACACAUAUAUAUAGUCAGUCCUAUAAUGUAAAAUAAAAUAUGCAUACACUUAAUAACUAUAUAACUCACUCGAAGUUGAAGGGGAAGAGUAUUUUUUGUUUUUCUUUUUGGUUCACAAAGAACCUCAUAAGAUUGGUGCAGACUUCUGUCUCAUGAUCUGCUGUCCACACUGCCUGCGGAGCCUUGAAAACAAUAUAAGGGUCAACGAACCCAAUACUAUUGUCAUUUUUCAUUCUGAGCUCUCUCAUUUGGUGCCUGCA
Molecule: long non-coding RNA, 828 nt
Filed under: Sorghum bicolor (sorghum)
Lineage: Eukaryota; Viridiplantae; Streptophyta; Magnoliopsida; Poales; Poaceae
Description: long non-coding RNA (SBIC_LNC009902)
Source: RNAcentral